UGCUGAGUUCUGGGAAUACAAAUACAAGAAGACAGAAAGACAGACCCUCCCCUGGAGGAGCUUACUUCACAUGCUACAGAGAGAAGACAACACACAAGAGAGAGCUGAAAGGGGGGUCCAUGGGAAAGAAGUGAUGCAGGCAUGGUUAGCCUGAGCCUCCCCUUUAAAAUGGAGAUUCUAGGAGAAACCAGCCAACCAGAGGGAGAGGCCACAAGACCAGGAGGGUAGGCUGGGCUCUGUGCUCAAUCCUGAAUCUUCUCAUCUUAUCAUUGCUCACAAUUCACCAACCCCCAACUCUAGACCAUUCCUGGCAUUCACUGUCCACUUCCUACUUAACUGAUGCUAAAUGGAGUUGACAGAGGUGGGGCAGCCGUGCUACCUGGGUGUGUGGCCCAUUGACAUUAGCUUGUUCCUCUGGGGACCUUGGCAGAAGGCAGUCUGCCUUAAUAGAUUCUUCUCCCACUGCCCAAAGCAAGCAGAGAAUCGACAACCCCUUGUCUGGCAUGUUCUAGGGGAGAUUUCUUCCUGAAUGAGCUGGACUCAUUCAUGUACGAGGUCCUUUAAAACUCCUGCCUUCUGUGCUCUGACUCUGGUGUUAUGAAUGAUAAAAAGGCAGGCUAACUCCUCCCAGAAUGCCCCACUACCUGCAAUAGAUUUGCUCCCAAACCCCCAGGAAAAAAACAAACAUACAAAAAUGCCUUCUGAUACAGCAGCACCUUUCAAGAUUUCCCAGUGACUCUCUUCUCUUCACCAGUUAGUUUAUGGGAAGGUUCGUGGCUUCAGCUGAACUGAGGGGGCUGUGUGCUCUAUUCACCAGGUAUUUCCUAUUUCUCAAUGCUUCAAGCCAUCUGUUUUCUCAUGUUCAAGAAACCUCUCCUAGGCCCUGCCUCUGUUGGAACAUUGGCCACCGCAAGCGGAGAUGAUCCCCGAGGGGACAGCAGAAGCCUCCCACACACACUUCCUGUUUCGCAUGGGGUGUACCUGCGGGCCAGAGAUGAGGUGUGGUUCUUACCUGAGCCGUCACAUCCCGCUAUGCCAGGAAGGACUCUGUGGGUGUUACACAGAAUCAUAAAACUGUAAGAGAAGUGUGAUGUCAUCGAGCCCAACCCCCUCAGUUUACAGGGAAGGAAACCCUCAUGUAAGGAAAGCAACUGGACCAAGGUCAAGAAGAUCCCUUCCCUUCUGAUUAAAUGGAAGAGCCGGAAUUCAAACUCAUUCUCAAGAUUCCAUGUCUAGCUGUCUUUCUAAUAUGCCAUGUUGUGAAAUCAGAAAAGACAAGAUCCGGCAAAGGACUGACUACGUGGGUUGAGCGUGAGUGAGGAGACAAGGCUGACUCAUGUUCAGGACUUCGGAUGGCCAAGUGAAGAAGAAGGAAGGUUUUGGGGAAAGAAUGAGUACUGCUAGUUUCUCGGGUCAAGGGAAAAGUCUUUGGUCUGACCUCCAGUAGAAUGUCGGUCUUCUGAGGGAGGGCUUGUUUGGCAUUUGUCUUUGUAACUACAGUGCCUGGCACGACAUCAAGACCUGAUGUUCUCUGAGGUCCCUUCUAGGGUUAGAUCUAUGACCGAUGACCUACGGAUCCUCUGAGCCUCCAUUUCUUCCAUCUGUGUAGUGAGGAGAUUGGACCAGAUGGCAGGAGGGACCCCUUCCAGAUCCAGAGCCAUGAUCCUAUCAUCAGCGCUUGAGGCCAACGGGGUGAGGUUUGACCUUGGAGGGAGAGAACCUCUCACAAAACUCUCGCUUUGGGUAAGCUUCUUGCUGGGCCUCUGCCCAAGUGCAGAAGAAGGUCCUUCCCCAGAUGAAAUCUAAAAUCCUUUGAUUCUGUCCUCCAACAGUGACUGGCUUUCUCUAGCUCCCAACAGUUGAUAAAUAUGGAAGUCUCAAGAUGGUAAUAACUAGCACUUACUAAUAUUUAAGGCUUGCAAAGCACUUUACAUACAAUUCCAAAGGCUUUCCUAUCUGGUUUUUAUCCAAUCCUCU
Long non-coding RNA from Phascolarctos cinereus (koala), 1977 nucleotides. RefSeq lists it as uncharacterized. The record is from RefSeq and is a predicted model, not a curated record. Lineage: Eukaryota; Metazoa; Chordata; Mammalia; Diprotodontia; Phascolarctidae.